UCUUGUAGAGGGGGGUAGAAUUUCAGGUGUAGCGGUGAAAUGCGUAGAGAUCUGAAGGAAUACCAGUGGCGAAGGCGGCCCCCUGGACAAAGACUGACGCUCAGAUGCGAAAGCGUGGGUAGCAAACAGGAUUAGAUACCCUGGUAGUCCACGCCGUAAACGCUGUCUACUUGGAGGUUGAGGUUUAAGACUUUGGCUUUCGGCGCUAACGCAUUAAGUAGACCGCCUGGGGAGUACGGCCGCAAGGUUAAAACUCAAAUGAAUUGACGGGGGCCCGCACAAGCGGUGGAGCAUGUGGUUUAAUUCGAUGCAACGCGAAGAACCUUACCUACUCUUGACAUCCAGAGAACUUUCCAGAGAUGGAUUGGUGCCUUCGGGAACUCUGAGACAGGUGCUGCAUGGCUGUCGUCAGCUCGCGUUGUGAAAUGUUGGGUUAAGUCCCGCAACGAGCGCAACCCUUAUCCUUGUUUGCCAGCACGUAAUGGUGGGAACUCCAGGGAGACUGCCGGUGAUAAACCGGAGGAAGGUGGGGACGACGUCAAGUCAUCAUGGCCCUUACGAGUAGGGCUACACACGUGCUACAAUGGCAGAUACAGAGGGCAGCGAAGCUGCGAAGUGGAGCGAAUCCCUUAAAGUUUGUCGUAGUCCGGAUUGGAGUCUGCAACUCG
This 668-nucleotide ribosomal RNA is filed under the name uncultured Salinivibrio sp. RNAcentral's name for it is "bacterial SSU rRNA". It matches the Rfam family "Bacterial small subunit ribosomal RNA", at positions 647 to 1314 of the family's 1533-position model. The record is from RNAcentral. Lineage: Bacteria; Pseudomonadati; Pseudomonadota; Gammaproteobacteria; Vibrionales; Vibrionaceae.